GAUGAAGAACGCAGCGAAAUGCGAUAAGUAAUGUGAAUUACAGAAUUCAGUGAAUCAUCGAAUCUUUGAACGCACAUUGCGCCCGCCAGUAUUCUGGCGGGCAUGCCUGUUCGAGCGUCAUUUCAACCAUCAAGCCCCCGGCUUGUGUUGGGGACCUGCGGCUGCCGCAGGCCCUGAAAACCAGUGGCGGGCUCGCUAGUCACUCCGAGCGUAGUAAUACAUCUCGCUCAGGGCGUGCUGCGGGUUCCGGCCGUUAAAAAGCCUUAUUUACCCAAGGUUGACCUCGGAUCAGGUAGGAAGACCCGCUGAACUUAAGCAUAUCAAUAAGCGGAGGA
Molecule: unclassified non-coding RNA, 335 nt
Filed under: soil metagenome
Description: partial contains 5.8S ribosomal RNA, internal transcribed spacer 2, and large subunit ribosomal RNA
Rfam family: 5.8S ribosomal RNA (bases 1-120)
Source: RNAcentral